AGUGAACGCUGGCGGUAGGCCUAACACAUGCAAGUCGAACGGCAGCACAGUAAGAGCUUGCUCUUACGGGUGGCGAGUGGCGGACGGGUGAGGAAUACAUCGGAAUCUACUUUUUCGUGGGGGAUAACGUAGGGAAACUUACGCUACUACCGCAUACGACCUACGGGUGAAAGCAGGGGAUCUUCGGACCUUGCGCGAUUGAAUGAGCCGAUGUCGGAUUAGCUAGUUGGCGGGGUAAAGGCCCACCAAGGCGACGAUCCGUAGCUGGUCUGAGAGGAUGAUCAGCCACACUGGAACUGAGACACGGUCCAGACUCCUACGGGAGGCAGCAGUGGGGAAUAUUGGGCAAUGGGCGCAAGCCUGAUCCAGCCAUACCGCGUGAGUGAAGAAGGCCUUCGGGUUGUAAAGCCCUUUUGUUGGGAAAGAAAAGCAGCAGGUUAAUACCCCGCUGUUCUGACGGUACCCAAAGAAUAAGCACCGGCUAACUUCGUG
This 492-nucleotide ribosomal RNA is filed under the name uncultured bacterium. RNAcentral's name for it is "partial 16S ribosomal RNA". It matches the Rfam family "Bacterial small subunit ribosomal RNA", at positions 29 to 507 of the family's 1533-position model. The record is from RNAcentral.